Molecule: ribosomal RNA, 749 nt
Filed under: mesophilic bacterium enrichment culture clone OTU_16
Lineage: Bacteria
Description: bacterial SSU rRNA
Rfam family: Bacterial small subunit ribosomal RNA
Source: RNAcentral
CUGCUUACCAUGCAGUCGAGCGAUGAAAUCCCUUCGGGGAUGGAUUAGCGGCGGACGGGUGAGUAACACGUGGGUAACCUGCCUCAAAGAGGGGGAUAGCCUCCCGAAAGGGAGAUUAAUACCGCAUAACAUUAGUUUUUCGCAUGGGAAACUAAUUAAAGGAGUAAUCUGCUUUGAGAUGGACCCGCGGCGCAUUAGCUAGUUGGUGAGGUAACGGCUCACCAAGGCGACGAUGCGUAGCCGACCUGAGAGGUUGAACGGCCACAUUGGGACUGAGACACGGCCCAGACUCCUACGGGAGGCAGCAGUGGGGGAUAUUGCACAAUGGAGGAAACUCUGAUGCAGCAACGCCGCGUGAGGGAAGACGGUCUUCGGAUUGUAAACCUUUGUCCUCGGUGACGAUAAUGACGGUAGCCGAGGAGGAAGCUCCGGCUAACUACGUGCCAGCAGCCGCGGUAAUACGUAGGGAGCAAGCGUUGUCCGGAUUUACUGGGUGUAAAGGGUGCGUAGGCGGCUCUGCAAGUCAGGUGUGAAAACUAUCGGCUUAACUGAUAGACUGCAUUUGAAACUGUGGGGCUUGAGUGGAGUAGAGGCAGACGGAAUUCCCGGUGUAGCGGUGAAAUGCGUAGAGAUCGGGAGGAACACCAGUGGCGAAGGCGGUCUGCUGGGCUUUAACUGACGCUGAGGCACGAAAGCAUGGGUAGCAAACAGGAUUAGAUACCCUGGUAGUCCAUGCUGUAAACGAUGAU